RNAcentral lists this ribosomal RNA (253 nucleotides) under uncultured bacterium. RNAcentral describes it as "partial 16S ribosomal RNA". It matches the Rfam family "Bacterial small subunit ribosomal RNA", at positions 524 to 776 of the family's 1533-position model. The record is from RNAcentral.
GACGAACCGUGCAAGCGUUGUUCGGAAUCACUGGGCUUAAAGGGCGCGUAGGCGGCUUGCCAAGUCAGGGGUGAAAUCUUUCGGCUUAACCGGAAAAGUGCCUUUGAUACUGGCGAGCUAGAGGGAGGUAGGGGCAUGUGGAACUUCCGGUGGAGCGGUGAAAUGCGUUGAUAUCGGAAGGAACGCCGGUGGCGAAAGCGACGUGCUGGAUCUCUUCUGACGCUGAGGCGCGAAAGCUAGGGGAGCGAACGGG